This 475-nucleotide ribosomal RNA is filed under the name uncultured bacterium. Its description in RNAcentral is "SSU rRNA". It matches the Rfam family "Bacterial small subunit ribosomal RNA", at positions 26 to 518 of the family's 1533-position model. The record is from RNAcentral.
AGGACGAACGCUGGCGGCGUGCUUAACACAUGCAAGUCGAGCGGAAAGGCCCUUCGGGGUACUCGAGCGGCGAACGGGUGAGUAACACGUGAGUAACCUGCCCCUAGCUCUGGGAUAGCUCCGGGAAACCGGGAUUAAUACCAGAUACGACCACUUUAGACAUCUGUCGUGGUGGAAAGGAUUCCGGCUAGGGAUGGGCUCGCGGCCUAUCAGCUUGUUGGUGGGGUAACGGCCUACCAAGGCGACGACGGGUAGCCGGCCUGAGAGGGCGACCGGCCACACUGGGACUGAGACACGGCCCAGACUCCUACGGGAGGCAGCAGUGGGGAAUAUUGCGCAAUGGGCGAAAGCCUGACGCAGCGACGCCGCGUGGGGGAUGGAAGGCCUUCGGGUUGUAAACCCCUUUCAGCAGGGACGAAGCGAAAGUGACGGUACCUGCAGAAGAAGCGCCGGCUAACUACGCGCCAGCAGCCGC